GCAAGAGACAUAACCUCAGUCCUUUGAGGCAUUUGGUUCUGGAAUCUAGCAACAAGUGUGCCUGUCUCCAUGGCCUCUUUCAGGCGUCUUCUGAGCUGCCUCCAGUCUUUGGAGGCCCAUCCAUCCUCUUGGACGUGCCACCAUAGCCAUUCCUCUGGGAGGGGGUCCCCCUUGGUGGGGGUAAGCGGUAUGCAGGGCUCCCUCCUCUCCAUGACCCACAGAACUAUCUCUUCUAUCGUCUGCUCCCUUCAGCUCAGAGGAUCCUUUUUUCUGGACUAAGACAAAUAUUUCUCCAUGUUUCUUCAAGACACUUCAUCUGUAUGCAGGAAGUAUCUCCCCUCGGUGGUAUAGAUUUUGGAAACAAAAGCAAGAAGGGGAGGAUUCAACCCAGUUUGGGAGAGACGGGAAGACUUCACAGAACAAGUGAUGCCUCAACUGCAUCCUGACGCCUGAACUAGAAUGUGCAUGAUGGGUGAGAGAGGUCGGAGGCUGAGGAGUUUUCUGGAGACUGCUCAUCUGAAGGAUCAAGGAACUGGUCAUGAGCCCAACCCCGUGUAAAGCCUCACCACUGUUACAAUCAACCUGAAACAAGAUAUGGUGUCCAGAUGGAAAAUGGACUUCUUUUGCGUAUUGGUCUGGACAAUGCUGUCUAUAACAAAACCUAAAAUUCCAUUAA
Molecule: long non-coding RNA, 676 nt
Organism: Leopardus geoffroyi (Geoffroy's cat)
Lineage: Eukaryota; Metazoa; Chordata; Mammalia; Carnivora; Felidae
Exons: 2
Source: RefSeq, a predicted model, not a curated record